RNAcentral lists this long non-coding RNA (201 nucleotides) under Elaeis guineensis (African oil palm). RNAcentral's name for it is "long non-coding RNA (EGUI_LNC028838)". Lineage: Eukaryota; Viridiplantae; Streptophyta; Magnoliopsida; Arecales; Arecaceae. The record is from RNAcentral.
UCUGGUUCUCGAUUGAUCCCUUGAAUUGAGCCUUGCAAAACUACCCAAGACAAGAAAAAUCCUCAUGCUUGAGGGGGUUCCUGACAAUAGACCCUCAAUGCCUAAAUCAGUCUCGUAUGGAAGCAAAUAGAAGAGAUUUGAGCUUUCAAGAUUAAUCUAGCAAGGGAUGAAGUUGAGUAUGAGGUGGAAUGAAGUGCGAAU